Molecule: ribosomal RNA, 404 nt
Filed under: Pseudomonas sp.
Lineage: Bacteria; Pseudomonadati; Pseudomonadota; Gammaproteobacteria; Pseudomonadales; Pseudomonadaceae
Also listed under: 1 other name
Description: partial 16S ribosomal RNA
Rfam family: Bacterial small subunit ribosomal RNA
Source: RNAcentral
UGGGGAAUAUUGGACAAUGGGCGCAAGCCUGAUCCAGCCAUGCCGCGUGAGUGAUGAAGGCCCUAGGGUUGUAAAGCUCUUUCACCGGUGAAGAUAAUGACGGUAACCGGAGAAGAAGCCCCGGCUAACUUCGUGCCAGCAGGCGCGGUAAUACGAAGGGGGCUAGCGUUGUUCGGAUUUACUGGGCGUAAAGCGCACGUAGGCGGACUUUUAAGUCAGGGGUGAAAUCCCGGGGCUCAACCCCGGAACUGCCUUUGAUACUGGAAGUCUUGAGUAUGGUAGAGGUGAGUGGAAUUCCGAGUGUAGAGGUGAAAUUCGUAGAUAUUCGGAGGAACACCAGUGGCGAAGGCGGCUCACUGGACCAUUACUGACGCUGAGGUGCGAAAGCGUGGGGAGCAAACAGG